CUGUCCGUAGUUAGAGCCAAGCCCUGCACUCCGAAGGCAGAGUCCAGAGGUUCGAAUCCUCUCGGGUGCACCA
RNAcentral lists this transfer RNA (73 nucleotides) under Sphingobium faniae. RNAcentral describes it as "tRNA_Arg_CCG". The record is from RNAcentral. Lineage: Bacteria; Pseudomonadati; Pseudomonadota; Alphaproteobacteria; Sphingomonadales; Sphingobiaceae.